This 729-nucleotide ribosomal RNA is filed under the name Triticum aestivum (bread wheat). RNAcentral describes it as "partial small subunit ribosomal RNA". The record is from RNAcentral. Lineage: Eukaryota; Viridiplantae; Streptophyta; Magnoliopsida; Poales; Poaceae.
AACCUUGCAUUGCUUGCGCGACAAGCCUGGCGGCUACUCCAGGAACCAAAUUCCCUGAGUGCGCGAAUCCUCAAAGCUGUUUACUACCCUUCGGUUUCAAUUCUUGAAGCUGAGCUGGGAAAGAACCCGUCACAGGGGCUGGUUAAACGGAUUGGCUCUGGUGAGGACACCAAUAUUUGGGUGGAUAACUGGAUACCACGAGAUUUCAAACUGCGACCGGUGUGCCCAAAAACAUUGAAUCCCCCGCAGCUUGUCUCGGAACUCAUCAAUCUCGUCACCUUCGCGUGGGAUAUGGCUGCGCUAGAUGAGCACUUUUACUCGAUGGAUAAGGAAGCGAUCCUCAAUAUCCCGCUCAGUUCUCGAGUACGCCAAGAUUUCUGGUCUUGGCAUUAUGAACGAAAGGGUGUCUUUACAGUGCGGUCAGCAUACAAGCUUCUGUCCUCUACUAGGCAGCAGCGCACUGACUGGCUAGAACACAAUGAGGGGCACUCACGUGUUGAAGCAGACCGCGGAUCUUGGACUAAGCUAUGGGGAGCAGCGGUCCCUUCAAAAGUCCGCGUUUUUGCUUGGAGACUGGCCAAAUGCUCUAUCCCCACAGGAGAAGUCCGAAAGCAUAGAAGUAUGGCCGAUUCGACGGAGUGUUCAAUUUGUCACGUGGCAGUGGAUACUUGGCGCCACUCCCUUUUUGACUGCCACAUGGCACGAUGUGUUUGGGCCCUCGCCGAUGAG